GCAAACUUGGUCAUUUAGAGGAAGUAAAAGUCGUAACAAGGUUUCCGUAGGUGAACCUGCGGAAGGAUCAUUAUUGUACUAUAAGAUCGUAAUUUCAAAAUUUUCGGUUCUUUUUAAAAAAUUUUUCCUGUUAAAUGAAAUUACGAUCAUUUAGUACAUCCUUAACAGGAGCAAAGAAAUAUUUAAAACCCAACUCUAUGAAUCAUCAUUUUUUAUGUGAAAAAAAUAAAAAGAUCACUUUCAACAACGGAUCUCUUGGCUCUCGCAUCGAUGAAGAACGCAGC
RNAcentral lists this unclassified non-coding RNA (284 nucleotides) under uncultured fungus. Its description in RNAcentral is "partial contains small subunit ribosomal RNA, internal transcribed spacer 1, and 5.8S ribosomal RNA". The stretch from base 1 to 73 matches the Rfam family "Eukaryotic small subunit ribosomal RNA", at positions 1759 to 1831 of the family's 1831-position model. Lineage: Eukaryota; Fungi. The record is from RNAcentral.